GCGGGGGAGUAACAUUCUGGGAAACAGGUGCUAAUACCGCAUAACAACGAAAACCACAUGGGUUUUCGUUUCAAAGAUGGUUUUCGGUCUAUCACUUCAGGAUGGGCCCGCGGUGCAUUAGCUAGUUGGUAGGGUAACGGCUUACCAAGGCAAUGAUGCAUAGCCGAGUUGAGAGACUGAUCGGCCACAAUGGAACUGAGACACGGUCCAUACUCCUACGGGAGGCAGCAGUAGGGAAUCUUCCACAAUGGGCGCAAGCCUGAUGGAGCAACACCGCGUGAGUGAAGAAGGGUUUUCGGCUCGUAAAGGCUCUGUUGUUGGAGAAGAACGUGCGUGAGAGUAACUGUUCACGCAGUGACGGUAUCCAACCAGAAAGUCACGGCUAACUACGUGCC
Molecule: ribosomal RNA, 395 nt
Filed under: uncultured bacterium
Lineage: Bacteria
Description: bacterial SSU rRNA
Rfam family: Bacterial small subunit ribosomal RNA
Source: RNAcentral